RNAcentral lists this unclassified non-coding RNA (343 nucleotides) under Bombus terrestris (buff-tailed bumblebee). RNAcentral's name for it is "misc RNA ENSBTSG00005038478.1". The record is from RNAcentral. Lineage: Eukaryota; Metazoa; Arthropoda; Insecta; Hymenoptera; Apidae.
AAAUAUUAAGUGUAUGUCAAUGCGGUGUGAGAUUGGUAACGGAAGAGAAUAAAACAAGUAAAAAUAAAACGGAAAAAUAAAGUCGUAGCAGCUGAUCAGGUUUAUUCAUAUGUAUCAGAAAUGAAGCGAAACGAAAUCAAAUGGAAGAAAAUAUGCGUAAGAUCGAUACAGUCCAGCAAUUUGAUAUCGGAUACACAUGUGAAAUACGUGCUCGUAAAGCAAAGCAAGACAAGCAACACGAAUCUUUGGAGGUGAAGAAAAUUCCGUGGAUGUUCACAGAAAGCGGAAAAUAAACUCUGCAGAUAUAAAUACUACCACGGAAGUGAUACUUUUAAAUAAAACG